CUCCUAACAUAUAGGAAUUUUAAAAAGAAAGGAAACCCAGAAAUGCCCAAUUUCCCAAAAAUUGGGUAUUUCUGGGUUUAUUCUGAAUCUUUCUAUUCUGAAUUCAGUUAACGACGAGAUUUAGUAUCCUUUCUCGCACUUUCAUAACUCGUGAAAUGCCGAGUAGGCACGAAUUCCCCCAAUUUGCGACCUACCAUCGGAUUUGUUAUGUAAAUAGGUAUAUGUUCCUUUCCAUUAUGAAUCGCGAUUGUAUGGCCAACCAUUGCGGGUAGAAUGCUAGAUGCCCGGGACCACGUUACUAUUGUUUCUUUCUCCUCCUUCAUAUUGAUCUUUUCGAUUUUUGCCAAUAAAUGACGAGCUACAAAAGGAUUCGUUUUUUUUCGUGUCACAGCUGAUUACUCCUUUUUUCUUUUUAAAGAGUGGCAUCCUAUGUCCACUAUCUCGAUCGAGGUAUCGAGGUCAGAACCC
This 468-nucleotide unclassified non-coding RNA is filed under the name Eriachne pallescens. RNAcentral describes it as "partial miscellaneous RNA". Lineage: Eukaryota; Viridiplantae; Streptophyta; Magnoliopsida; Poales; Poaceae. The record is from RNAcentral.